AGCGGGCGCCCAUGUAUGGCUAAGGCUGAGCCUUAGCCGCGGUCGACCCGGGUUCGAAUCCGGACCUGUGGACCUUUGCCGCAUCUCUCUCUCUCUGUUUCCCCUCAUUCCAUGACUCUUAGUCACCAAAAAAAAAAAAAGGUCUAUAGCAUGUUAGGUAUGUUAGGAAUGUUAGCUUAGUAUAGUGCGUGAUGAAAAAAGUCGUGUUAAAAAAAAAAAAAAAAAAAGUCAAUAGUAUAGCAUGUUAGGUAUGUUAGGAAUGUUAGCCAAGAUAGUGCGUGAUGAAAAGAUUUCGUGAUAAGUCAGGAUGUUAGGUAUGUUAGGAAUGUUAGCUUAGUAUAGUGCGUGAUGAAAAAAGUCGUGUUAAAAAAAAAAAAAAAAAAAGUCAAUAGUAUAGCAUGUUAGGUAUGUUAGGAAUGUUAGCCAAGUAUAGUGCGUGAUGAAAAGAUUUCGUGAUAAGUCAGGAUGUUAGGUUAGCAUGUUAGGUAUGUUAGGAAUGUUAGCUUAGUAUAGUGCGUGAUGAAAAAAGUCGUGUUAAAAAAAAAAAAAAAAAAAGUCAAUAGUAUAGCAUGUUAGGUAUGUUAGGAAUGUUAGCCAAGUAUAGUGCGUGAUGAAAAGAUUUCGUGAUAAGUCAGGAUGUUAGCAGUGGACUUUUCACCAUCAUUUGAAAAGUAAAUGGUUACGUCACAAUAUAUAGUUUCAGUGCCUUGCUUUUGGCACACUUCAGCACAGUGGAAGCUUGAGAGUAAAACCAGGUCUUCUGGUUCAGGGCCAGUCUCCCAAAUCACUGUACCAACCUGCUGUAUGGAGUAUAAUCAUUUGCAUUGAACACAAUUGUAUGAAUCAUAAAUCUUUAAUAAAUAAAUAAAAUUAAAUGUUAUCAGAUCUCAACCCUGUUUAAGCUGCAUUGAAAAGGUGAACUAUCUGCUGCUCUUAAAGCUUCUGAGCUCAAUAUACAAAGUGAAUCCUUUGGUUUAUUUCCAUUGCUUAUUUCAUUUUUCAUUUCAUUUCAAAAUUUAUUUCAAGCAUGUAGAAUACAAAAAAA
This is a long non-coding RNA of Sebastes umbrosus (honeycomb rockfish), 1045 nucleotides long. RefSeq lists it as uncharacterized. The record is from RefSeq and is a predicted model, not a curated record. Lineage: Eukaryota; Metazoa; Chordata; Actinopteri; Perciformes; Sebastidae. The transcript is spliced from 4 exons.